This 440-nucleotide ribosomal RNA is filed under the name uncultured bacterium. RNAcentral's name for it is "partial 16S ribosomal RNA". It matches the Rfam family "Bacterial small subunit ribosomal RNA", at positions 338 to 795 of the family's 1533-position model. The record is from RNAcentral.
CCUACGGGCGGCAGCAGUAGGGAAUAUUGCUCAAUGGGGGAAACCCUGAAGCAGCAACGCCGCGUGGAGGAUGAAGGUUUUCGGAUUGUAAACUUCUUUUGUUAGGGAAGAUACUGACGUUAUCUGACUAAUAAUCCCCGGCUAACUCCGUGCCAGCAGCCGCGGUAAUACGUAGGGUGCAAGCGUUAUACGGAAGCACUGGGCGUAAAGCGAGCGUAGGCGGCAGCGUAAGUCAGAUGUGAAAUCCUAUGGCUUAACCAUAGAACUGCAGUGGAAACUGUUGUUCUGGAUUUUGGGAGAGGUAGGCGGAAUUCGUGGUGUAGCGGUAAAAUGCGUAGAGAUGAAGAGGAAGACUCAUGGCGAAGGCGACUUGCUAGAACAUAACUGACGCUGAUGCGCGAAAGCGUGGGGAGCAAACAGGAGUAGAUACCCGAGUAGUC